RNAcentral lists this microRNA (20 nucleotides) under Macaca mulatta (Rhesus monkey). RNAcentral describes it as "mml-miR-920". Its record names the gene mml-miR-920. Lineage: Eukaryota; Metazoa; Chordata; Mammalia; Primates; Cercopithecidae. The record is from miRBase by way of RNAcentral.
GGGGAGCUGUGGAAGCGGUA